Molecule: microRNA precursor, 65 nt
Filed under: Oryza meridionalis
Lineage: Eukaryota; Viridiplantae; Streptophyta; Magnoliopsida; Poales; Poaceae
Description: pre miRNA MIR2907
Rfam family: MIR2907 microRNA precursor family
Source: RNAcentral
CAGCGCCCCUUCCUCCUCCUACUCAGCUGCAAUGUGGCAGCCGAGUGAGGGCCUCGAGGUGACGC